This 461-nucleotide ribosomal RNA is filed under the name uncultured bacterium. RNAcentral's name for it is "SSU rRNA". It matches the Rfam family "Bacterial small subunit ribosomal RNA", at positions 26 to 518 of the family's 1533-position model. The record is from RNAcentral.
AGAGCGAACGCUGGCGGCAGGCCUAAUACAUGCAAGUCGAACGGACCCUUCGGGGUUAGCGGCGGACGGGUGAGUAACACGUGGGAACGUGCCCUUUGGUUCGGAACAACUCAGGGAAACUUGAGCUAAUACCGAAUGUGCCCCCAUCCUUAAACAAGAUGGGUGGGAAAGAUUUAUCGCCAUUGGAGCGGCCCGCGUCUGAUUAGCUAGUUGGUGAGGUAAAGGCUCACCAAGGCGACGAUCAGUAGCUGGUCUGAGAGGAUGAUCAGCCACACUGGGACUGAGACACGGCCCAGACUCCUACGGGAGGCAGCAGUAGGGAAUCUUGCGCAAUGGGCGAAAGCCUGACGCAGCCAUGCCGCGUGAAUGAUGAAGGUCUUAGGAUUGUAAAAUUCUUUCAGCGGGGACGAUAAUGACGGUACCGCAGAAGAAGCCCCGGCUAACUUCGUGCCAGCAGCCGC